This 377-nucleotide ribosomal RNA is filed under the name uncultured Rhodoferax sp. RNAcentral's name for it is "bacterial SSU rRNA". It matches the Rfam family "Bacterial small subunit ribosomal RNA", at positions 1003 to 1382 of the family's 1533-position model. Lineage: Bacteria; Pseudomonadati; Pseudomonadota; Betaproteobacteria; Burkholderiales; Comamonadaceae. The record is from RNAcentral.
GAUAGAGGCGUGCUCGAAAGAGAGCCGUAACACAGGUGCUGCAUGGCUGUCGUCAGCUCGUGUCGUGAGAUGUUGGGUUAAGUCCUGCAACGAGCGCAACCCUUGUCAUUAGUUGCUACAUUCAGUUGGGCACUCUAAUGAGACUGCCGGUGACAAGCCGGAGGAAGGUGGGGAUGACGUCAAGUCCUCAUGGCCCUUAUAGGUGGGGCUACACACGUCAUACAAUGGCUGGUACAAAGGGUUGCCAACCCGCGAGGGGGAGCUAAUCCCAUAAAGCCAGUCGUAGUCCGGAUCGUAGUCUGCAACUCGACUACGUGAAGUCGGAAUCGCUAGUAAUCGUGGAUCAGAAUGUCACGGUGAAUACGUUCCCGGGUCUU